This 402-nucleotide ribosomal RNA is filed under the name uncultured bacterium. RNAcentral describes it as "bacterial SSU rRNA". It matches the Rfam family "Bacterial small subunit ribosomal RNA", at positions 355 to 774 of the family's 1533-position model. The record is from RNAcentral.
UCGGGAAUUUUGGGCAAUGGGCGAAAGCCUGACCCAGCAACGCCGCGUGAGGGAUGAAGUAUUUCGGUAUGUAAACCUCGAAAGAAUGGGAAGAAUAAAUGACGGUACCAUUUAUAAGCUCCGGCUAACUACGUGCCAGCAGCCGCGGUAAUACGUAGGGAGCAAGCGUUGUUCGGAAUUACUGGGCGUAAAGGGCGCGUAGGCGGCGCGGUAAGUCACUUGUGAAAUCUCUGAGCUUAACUCAGAACGGCCAAGUGAUACUGCUGUGCUAGAGUGCGGAAGAGGCAACCGGAAUUCUUGGUGUAGCGGUGAAAUGCGUAGAUAUCAAGAGGAACACCUGAGGCGAAGGCGGGUUGCUGGGCCGACACUGACGCUGAUGCGCGAAAGCCAGGGGAGCAAACG